RNAcentral lists this transfer RNA (87 nucleotides) under Acidobacteriota bacterium. Its description in RNAcentral is "Acidobacteria bacterium tRNA-Leu". It matches the Rfam family "tRNA". From Rfam's summary of the family: Transfer RNA (tRNA) molecules are approximately 80 nucleotides in length. Their secondary structure includes four short double-helical elements and three loops (D, anti-codon, and T loops). Further hydrogen bonds mediate the characteristic L-shaped molecular structure. tRNAs have two regions of fundamental functional importance: the anti-codon, which is responsible for specific mRNA codon recognition, and the 3' end, to which the tRNAs corresponding amino acid is attached (by aminoacyl-tRNA synthetases). tRNAs cope with the degeneracy of the genetic code in two manners: having more than one tRNA (with a specific anti-codon) for a particular amino acid; and 'wobble' base-pairing, i.e. permitting non-standard base-pairing at the 3rd anti-codon position. Lineage: Bacteria; Pseudomonadati; Acidobacteriota. The record is from RNAcentral.
GCGGAAGUGGCGGAACUGGCAGACGCGCAAGACUCAGGAGCUUGUGGCCGCAAGGUCGUGGAGGUUCAAAUCCUCUCUUCCGCACCA